CAGAUUAUGAUGGUAUGAGUUGGAAUCCUGACAGGAAGAGGUCACAAUCAUCUUUGAAGAGAAUUAAAUGAAAGAACUACUCUCAGAGGUGCAGGUAGUUAAGGAUAAGUUAAGGAUACCCAGACCCCCGGAACUAGCUGCAGCAGGAUGCUUCUGUCAUCCUGGGCUGAAAAGGGAAAAGGGCAAGACUAUGUUACCAGAGCCUUAUGAGGAUCUCCAUUGACCAAAGCAAACUGAAACAAGCAACAGUCAUGGGAGUCCAGGUAACGCAGUCCAUAGAGGCCAGACUUCUGAGGCUGGGCUGUUGGCAGUGACUAAAGAAAUCAUCUAGUAGUUUAAAGAAGUCACGAAGGUUUUCAAAGGAACAGAGGAAGCUACAUGAAGAGAAAGGGGAAGCUCAAUUUACCGCAUAAAUUUUCUUUUCAAACGCUGUGAAGAUCACUUCGGAAGGAGAACAGUUUUGCAGUGAGGUUUGGGGAUUACAAGAAAAUUUCAAUUGGCCUAACUCACCAGUUUCCAGCAGCACCACCAUGACUAGACCUUCAAAGAGGAGAGAGAGACAGACUGUGAGCCGGGUACUGACAGAGAGAGGGAGACACAGAAUCUGAA
Molecule: long non-coding RNA, 609 nt
Organism: Felis catus (domestic cat)
Lineage: Eukaryota; Metazoa; Chordata; Mammalia; Carnivora; Felidae
Exons: 6
Source: RefSeq, a predicted model, not a curated record